Molecule: RNA transcript, 1085 nt
Organism: Octodon degus (degu)
Lineage: Eukaryota; Metazoa; Chordata; Mammalia; Rodentia; Octodontidae
Gene name: AKT-interacting protein pseudogene
Exons: 1
Source: RefSeq, a predicted model, not a curated record
GCGGGCAGGGGCCGGGCUGGCGCUGCUGCUAGAGAUGCUGUGGGACCGCGAAGGCGUUAGGAAGCCGGGAGCUCUGCCCUGAAGACACCGGGAUACAGUGAAUGCAAAGGACAGAAGAGUUAGAUGGCACAGACCACUGAAUUUCUUUGUUCGGAGGACACGUUAUGAACCCUUUCUGGAGCAUGUCUACAAGCUCUGUACGCAAACGUUCUGAUGGCGAAGAGAAGACAUUAGCAGGGGAUGUGAAAAGCAGUCUUCCAAGAACGGCACCAAAAAAACAGCUGCCUUCUAUUCCCAAAAAUGCACUACCCAUAACUAAGCCUACGACUCCUGCCCCGGCAGCACAAUCAACAAAUGGCACACAUGCUUCUUACGGCCCCUUCUACCUGGAAUACUCUCUGCUCGCAGAAUUUACCUUGGUAGUGAAGCAGAAGUUACCGGGAGUCUAUGUGCAGCCAUCUUACCGCUCCGCAUUAAUGUGGUUUGGAGUAAUAUUCAUACGGCAUGGGCUUUAUCAAGACGGCGUGUUUAAGUUCACAGUUUACAUCCCUGAUAACUAUCCAGAUGGUGAUUGUCCACGCUUGGUGUUUGAUAUUCCCGUCUUUCACCCGCUAGUUGAUCCCACUUCAGGUGAACAGGAUGUGAAGAGAGCAUUUGCAAAAUGGAGGCGGAACCAUAAUCAUAUUUGGCAAGUAUUAAUGUAUGCAAGGAGAGUUUUCUACAAGAUUGAUACAGCAAACCCCUUAAAUCCAGAGGCUGCAGUACUGUAUGAAAAAGAUGUUCACCUUUUUAAAAGCAAAGUAGUCGACAAUGUUAAGGUGUGCACGUCUCGUUUGUUUGAACAACCUAAAAUAGAAGACCCGUAUGCAAUUAGUUUUUCUCCAUGGAAUCCUUCUGUACACGAUGAAGCCAGAGAGAAGAUGCUGACUCAGAAAAAGCCUGAAGAACAGCACAAUAAAAGUGUUCAUGUUGCUGGCCUGUCAUGGGUAAAGCCUGGCUCAGUACAACCUUUCAGUAAAGAAGAAAAAGCAGUAGCAACUUAGGAGAUGCUGACUCUGGGCACCAUGCACUUUCCUGCUGGACUC